This 422-nucleotide ribosomal RNA is filed under the name uncultured bacterium. RNAcentral's name for it is "bacterial SSU rRNA". It matches the Rfam family "Bacterial small subunit ribosomal RNA", at positions 355 to 774 of the family's 1533-position model. The record is from RNAcentral.
UAAGGAAUAUUGGUCAAUGGACGCAAGUCUGAACCAGCCAUGCCGCGUGGGGGAUUAAGGCCCUCUGGGUUGUAAACUCCUUUUAUCUGGGAAGAAAUGUACUUUUUCUUGAGUACUUGACGGUACCAGAGGAAUAAGCACCGGCUAACUCCGUGCCAGCAGCCGCGGUACUAAGGAGGGUGCAAGCGUUAUCCGGAUUCACUGGGUUUAAAGGGUGCGUAGGUGGGCAGGUAAGUCAGUGGUGAAAUCUCCGGGCUUAACCCGGAAACUGCCGUUGAUACUAUUUGUCGUGAAUAUUGCGGAGGUAAGCGGAAUAUGUCAUGAAGCGGUGAAAUGCAUAGAUAUGACAUGGAACACCAAUUGCGAAGGCAGCUUACUACACAAUGAUUGACGCUGAUGCACGAAAGCGUGGGGAGCGAACA